UACGAAGGGGGCUAGCGUUGCUCGGAAUCACUGGGCGUAAAGCGCACGUAGGCGGAUCUUUUAAGUCAGGGGUGAAAUCCUGGAGCUCAACUCCAGAACUGCCUCUGAUACUGGGGAUCUUGAGUCCGGAAGAGGUAAGUGGAACUGCGAGUGUAGAGGUGAAAUUCGUAGAUAUUCGCAAGAACACCAGUGGCGAAGGCGGCUUACUGGUCCGGUACUGACGCUGAGGUGCGAAAGCGUGGGGAGCAAACAGGG
RNAcentral lists this ribosomal RNA (255 nucleotides) under uncultured bacterium. Its description in RNAcentral is "partial 16S ribosomal RNA". It matches the Rfam family "Bacterial small subunit ribosomal RNA", at positions 524 to 777 of the family's 1533-position model. The record is from RNAcentral.